Myxocyprinus asiaticus (Chinese sucker) is the source of this 535-nucleotide long non-coding RNA. RefSeq lists it as uncharacterized. The transcript has 3 exons. The record is from RefSeq and is a predicted model, not a curated record. Lineage: Eukaryota; Metazoa; Chordata; Actinopteri; Cypriniformes; Catostomidae.
GUACUUCACCACCCAGCUCCUGGCUCUCUGAUAUCCUUCGUGAACAUUGGACUGACCUCUGGGCAGCUGAGAGGAAAUGGCGGAAAUCUAAAGAUCCAGCAGAUCUAGAACAAGCUGCUGGAUGACAAUCAGUCAGGCUUCAAAAGUGGACACACGAAACUGCCCUGCUGUCUGUCAAUGAGUCGCAGAGACAGGCGAAAGCUGAAUCCAGAUCAUCCGUCCUGAUUCUACUGGACCUUUCUGCAGCCUUCGACACAGUCAACCAUCAGAUCUUACUCUCCACCCUGUCUUCGCUGGGCAUCACAGGAACUGUGCGUGACUGGUUUAAUUCCUAUCUCUCAGCCCAACAACACCACAGUGACUGCUCGAAUCUCUGCCUGCCUGGCAGACAUCUCGGCCUGGAUGAAGGAACACCAACUGCAACUUAACCCAGCCAAGACCGAACUCCUUGUCUUUCCAGCCAACCCUGCUGUUGAACACAACAUCACCGUGCAGCUGGGUGCAACUACAGUAACGCCUUCCAAAAUGGUCAGAA